RNAcentral lists this long non-coding RNA (467 nucleotides) under Phoenix dactylifera (date palm). RNAcentral describes it as "long non-coding RNA (PDAC_LNC005456)". The record is from RNAcentral. Lineage: Eukaryota; Viridiplantae; Streptophyta; Magnoliopsida; Arecales; Arecaceae.
GUCGCUUGCACUAAUGCAUCUUUGCUCAUUUUGCUCAUGCAUGACCAUCAAAACAUGUGCCAAGUAAGCUUUGAGAUGCAUGAUCGCGCAUGAUCAUAUAUUUUCAAGGCGUGAUCGAGCGAUCACCAGCGCAGGAAAGACCCACAUGGUGUUUUACAUGAAAGAGCUAACCUGAUCCUAUAAUUAACCAACCAGAAGAAAUUUAGAUAAUUGGUCUUUAAAAAAAAAUAUGACAGUUCUUAGAGCAAAAAUAUCAAAGCAACUCUUUUAUACAUGCUCAACCUAAAUCUGGUGCUAUGAGAUAAUAAAAAUUUCUAAAAACCUUAUAAAAUCUCAAAAAGAGCCUAUCAUAUGACCUCAGAAAUUGGAACUCCCCCCUCCUCUUCACUCUUUCUCCAUUUCAUGUGCCCUGGUUCUUGUGAUAUAUGGUACCAAUCAUAUUACCUAAUUUAAGGCCAAGUCAAACA